RNAcentral lists this ribosomal RNA (460 nucleotides) under uncultured bacterium. RNAcentral's name for it is "partial 16S ribosomal RNA". It matches the Rfam family "Bacterial small subunit ribosomal RNA", at positions 338 to 795 of the family's 1533-position model. The record is from RNAcentral.
CCUACGGGAGGCAGCAGUGAGGAAUAUUGGUCAAUGGCCGGAAGGCUGAACCAGCCAUGCCGCGUGAAGGUCAGUGCCCUAUGGGCGUUAAACUUCUUUUGUGCGGGAGCAAUAAUGGUCACGUGUGGCCAGACGAGAGUACCGUACGAAUAAGCAUCGGCUAACUCCGUGCCAGCAGCCGCGGUAAUACGGGGGAUGCAAGCGUUAUCCGGAUUUAUUGGGGGUAAAGGGUGCGGAGGCUGUGAGGUAAGUCAGCGGUGAAAUGCCCCCGCUCAACGGGGUGACGUGCCAUUGAUACUGCCUUGCUGGAAUGCGGAUGACGUAGGAGGAAUGUGUGGUGUAGCGGUGAAAUGCAUAGAUAUCACACAGAACACCGAUUGCGAAGGCAUCUCACGAAUCCGCGAUUGACGCUGAUGCACGAAAGCGUGGGUAUCAAACAGGAUUAGAUACCCGUGUAGUC